This 266-nucleotide ribosomal RNA is filed under the name uncultured Streptococcus sp. Its description in RNAcentral is "partial 16S ribosomal RNA". It matches the Rfam family "Bacterial small subunit ribosomal RNA", at positions 77 to 339 of the family's 1533-position model. Lineage: Bacteria; Bacillati; Bacillota; Bacilli; Lactobacillales; Streptococcaceae. The record is from RNAcentral.
UUGCACUAGUCAGAUGAGUUGCGAACGGGUGAGUAACGCGUAGGUAACCUACCUCAUAGCGGGGGAUAACUAUUGGAAACGAUAGCUAAUACCGCAUGACAAUUAAGUACUCAUGUACUAAAUUUAAAAGGAGCAAUUGCUUCACUAUGAGAUGGACCUGCGUUGUAUUAGCUAGUUGGUGAGGUAACGGCUCACCAAGGCCACGAUACAUAGCCGACCUGAGAGGGUGAUCGGCCACACUGGGACUGAGACACGGCCCAGACUCC